This 520-nucleotide ribosomal RNA is filed under the name uncultured Glomus. Its description in RNAcentral is "bacterial SSU rRNA". It matches the Rfam family "Eukaryotic small subunit ribosomal RNA", at positions 569 to 1085 of the family's 1831-position model. The record is from RNAcentral. Lineage: Eukaryota; Fungi; Glomeromycota; Glomeromycetes; Glomerales; Glomeraceae.
AGCAGCCGCGGUAAUUCCAGCUCCAAUAGCGUAUAUUAAAGUUGUUGCAGUUAAAAAGCUCGUAGUUGAAUUUCGAGAUCAGUACGCUGGUCGUGCCUUCGGUAUGCACUGGUGUCACUGGUUUCUCCCUUCUGAAGAACCGUAAUGCCAUUCAGUUGGUGUGGCGGGGAAUCAGGAUUGUUACUUUGAAAAAAUUAGAGUGUUUAAAGCAGGCUCGCGCUUGAAUACAUUAGCAUGGAAUAAUGAAAUAGGACGUUUGAUCCUAUUUUGUUGGUUUCUAGGAUCGACGUAAUGAUUAAUAGGGAUAGUUGGGGGCAUUAGUAUUCAAUUGUCAGAGGUGAAAUUCUUGGAUUUAUUGAAGACUAACUACUGCGAAAAGCAUUUAGCCAAGGUAUGUUUUCAUUAAAUCAAAGAACGAAAGUUAGGGGAUCGUAAGACGAUCAGAUCCGUCGUAGUCUAACAUAAAUAACUAGCCGACUACGGGUAAUCGGAGUUGAAGUUGUUAAGUUUUUUAAUUAGG